GUGGUGGCUCACUGGUAGAGUGCUCGCCUAGCAUGCAUGAGGAACUGGGUUCGAUACUCGGCACCACA
Molecule: transfer RNA, 68 nt
Filed under: Marmota monax (woodchuck)
Lineage: Eukaryota; Metazoa; Chordata; Mammalia; Rodentia; Sciuridae
Description: tRNA.Ala
Source: RNAcentral